This 1097-nucleotide ribosomal RNA is filed under the name Listeria booriae. RNAcentral's name for it is "bacterial SSU rRNA". It matches the Rfam family "Bacterial small subunit ribosomal RNA", at positions 445 to 1533 of the family's 1533-position model. The record is from RNAcentral. Lineage: Bacteria; Bacillati; Bacillota; Bacilli; Caryophanales; Listeriaceae.
AAGGAUAAGAGUAACUGCUUGUCCCUUGACGGUAUCUAACCAGAAAGCCACGGCUAACUACGUGCCAGCAGCCGCGGUAAUACGUAGGUGGCAAGCGUUGUCCGGAUUUAUUGGGCGUAAAGCGAGCGCAGGCGGUUUCUUAAGUCUGAUGUGAAAGCCCCCGGCUUAACCGGGGAGGGUCAUUGGAAACUGAGAGACUUGAAUGCAGGAGAGGUAAGUGGAAUUCCACGUGUAGCGGUGAAAUGCGUAGAUAUGUGGAGGAACACCAGUGGCGAAGGCGGCUUACUGGCCUGUAAUUGACGCUGAGGCUCGAAAGCGUGGGGAGCAAACAGGAUUAGAUACCCUGGUAGUCCACGCCGUAAACGAUGAGUGCUAAGUGUUAGGGGGUUUCCGCCCCUUAGUGCUGCAGCUAACGCAUUAAGCACUCCGCCUGGGGAGUACGACCGCAAGGUUGAAACUCAAAGGAAUUGACGGGGGCCCGCACAAGUGGUGGAGCAUGUGGUUUAAUUCGAAGCAACGCGAAGAACCUUACCAGGUCUUGACAUCCUUUGACCACUCUGGAGACAGAGCUUUCCCUUCGGGGACAAAGUGACAGGUGGUGCAUGGUUGUCGUCAGCUCGUGUCGUGAGAUGUUGGGUUAAGUCCCGCAACGAGCGCAACCCUUGAUUUUAGUUGCCAGCAUUUAGUUGGGCACUCUAAAGUGACUGCCGGUGCAAGCCGGAGGAAGGUGGGGAUGACGUCAAAUCAUCAUGCCCCUUAUGACCUGGGCUACACACGUGCUACAAUGGAUAAUACAAAGGGUUGCCAAACCGCGAGGUCGAGCUAAUCCCAUAAAAUUAUUCUCAGUUCGGAUUGUAGGCUGCAACUCGCCUACAUGAAGCCGGAAUCACUAGUAAUCGUGGAUCAGCAUGCCACGGUGAAUACGUUCCCGGGCCUUGUACACACCGCCCGUCACACCACGAGAGUUUGUAACACCCGAAGUCGGUAGGGUAACCUUUAUGGAGCCAGCCGCCGAAGGUGGGACAGAUAAUUGGGGUGAAGUCGUAACAAGGUAGCCGUAUCGGAAGGUGCGGCUGGAUCACCUCCUUUCUAAGGAA